AUACAAUAACCUGGUGACGCAAGGUGUAUCACAUUUGUGCAAAUUUCUAGAUGCUGGAUCACUCUCAACAUCCAAUCUGUCGAAAGAAUCAUGAUCGAAAACUUUGACAAAACGACUUAUGUCAAUAGAGUCGGGUCAAUUGCUUCUUUUUCCAUACAAUAAUGGUGCUCAAGAUCGACGGUAUGUGGGUAUUAUGUGAUGCGAUUCAUGUGGGUCAUAGUCAACCAGAAGAGCACUUCAAUCCCGGAUGUAAUGAAACUUGAACUGCGUGAAUAUACGAAAGACGACAUCAAUAUGUUAAGAAUGGAGUGGGCCGAGUUUGCAGGGUCCUACUUAGAUUUUGCAUAAAAUAUGAGGAAUUAUCUUUUUUGGGUUGUCCAUGAACUCAUUUUGCAUAUAAUAUAUUUUUUGCUUGCACAACGUUCGAGCUCAAUGUUCAUGUAUUGGUAGUCGUACUUUUGUUAGGCAUUUUUUUGGGACUUCUGGCUACCUUAUACUAUCAUGCUUAUUUAAACUCA
Long non-coding RNA from Momordica charantia (bitter melon), 518 nucleotides. RefSeq lists it as uncharacterized. NCBI's taxonomy places the organism in Eukaryota, Viridiplantae, Streptophyta, Magnoliopsida, Cucurbitales, Cucurbitaceae. The record is from RefSeq and is a predicted model, not a curated record.